UAGGCCUAUGAAAUCAAUUCUAACCCAAAUUUGCACUUUAGGUAUGCUAGGCCU
RNAcentral lists this transfer RNA (54 nucleotides) under Paralaudakia stoliczkana (Mongolia rock agama). RNAcentral's name for it is "tRNA-Cys". The record is from RNAcentral. Lineage: Eukaryota; Metazoa; Chordata; Lepidosauria; Squamata; Agamidae.